ACGUCUCCGACGCUCAAGUCAGUAAUUUGUAAAGAAGUAAUAACUUAAACUAGUGUUGCCAAGUGAGAACGUGAGCUCUUAAGAAGUGUGUCCUAAAGUUUCUUAAGAGAGUUUCGGGUACUUACCUUUCCUCCGACGUUGCUUCGAGAGGGUGAUCUUUGAUUGUCCUCCACUCGUUAGGCAUAUUCAUUCCCUUUUCCAAUUGUGGCGCUUCUUCCGUUGGUUGUUCCUCAGUUUCAUCUUUAUUUU
This 249-nucleotide long non-coding RNA is filed under the name Nicotiana benthamiana. RNAcentral describes it as "long non-coding RNA (NBEN_LNC009805)". Lineage: Eukaryota; Viridiplantae; Streptophyta; Magnoliopsida; Solanales; Solanaceae. The record is from RNAcentral.